RNAcentral lists this long non-coding RNA (3254 nucleotides) under Fukomys damarensis (Damara mole-rat). Its description in RNAcentral is "lncRNA (ENSFDAG00000028347.1)". Lineage: Eukaryota; Metazoa; Chordata; Mammalia; Rodentia; Bathyergidae. The record is from RNAcentral.
CUGACAAUUUUUUUUUUCUUUUUAUUGAGUUUAUUGGUACAUUCUAGGUAUACAAUUCAGUUACAUUCAUUACUGGGAUCUUGUACCUUUACAUGCCAGGUCCUGGUUCUCAUUUUUUCCCCUUGUCCCUGCCCUCCCUUCACCCCCUCCUCCCCACCCCUGACAGACAAAUUUAAAAGCAACGGAAAAGGGAUAGAGAAGAAAGCCAACCUUAAGCAGAAGAAACACAAUCAGCAAAAUCCGCAAAAGCAACAAAUACAACGAAUACAGCAAAUUACCAGAAUAGCAGGAGCUGCUGAUGAAGAGACAGACAGAGGGAGCAAGUGAGCCAGCAUCUCUCUGGGAGGUAGAGACCCCAGGACCUGAGGACCAGCUCUCUAAGUUGUGAAUGUGUUCAUUAUGCUGCCUCACCUGCAACCUGGACUCAAAUCACAUCCAUGGCCAGGACCUGCACAUUGAAUCAAUGUCAUUUCUGGAGUAGAAAAUAAAAAGUGUUUUUUGUUGGUGUUGACAUUUCUUUAGCACAAGGCCCAUCAAGUUUUAGCAUUUUUGAUGAUAAAGAAAUGUGCCUGCAAUUUGAAAACCUGGUGCUGAUUAAGUAAUUAUUUAAAACGUUUUUUCUUUCAAAAAUUCAAACCUAGAAGAUGAAAGAAUAAGAACACUCUUUUUACAUUCACCGAUUAUUAACAUUAUUUUGUGUCUCUAUGUAUAGUUUUAUAUAUGUUGGCUGGAGUUCUUUGCUUUUAAGAACUACUUUAAACUAAGCUGCAGACUCCAUAACAUUUUACUGCUAAACAGGGGCCGGUCCUAAGUUCGAUCCCCGGUACUAGAAAGGGGGAAAACACACAAACACACACAAGAAAAAGCAAAACAAAGCAAAAAUGUUUUAUCAAAUACAUAUAAAUUGUAUGUAAGUGGUACUCUUAUAGUUGGUAUAUACAGAUUUGGUCAGAAAAACAAAAGAUUGUAAUGAAGAGCAUGUUCUAUUUCUGGAAAAGCAUGGUCUCUCUCUCUCUCUCUCUCUCUCUCUUUUCCAUCUAUACUAGUCCUUUCCAUGAGAAAAUCUUUUCAACAUUUCCUCACCUGGAGCUACAGUGGGGAAUCCAUUUCAUCUCCAGAGUAGGCUAGUGAUACAGUUCACAGUUGCCAUGGUAGAAGAGAGUUUCUUCUCUUGUCUACUACUAUUUCUAUAAACACUUCCCUUUUUCCCAUACAGGAUUUCUAAAUACUGUAACAGCACUAAAUAGUACCAAAUACAUCAUACUAAAUGACCAUUUCCAAAGGCCAGACAGAAGUCUUGUGUCAGUUUAGAGAGGAAUUUUUUUUUAGUUUUUAUUAGUAUUUGUUUGCAGUACAUAAUGUUUGUAUUUCUCCUGUUAUCUUAAUUUUUUCAUCCCUUUUUUCUCCCACACCUCCUUCCUGCCAUCUUUUGAUCCCCUUCCCACUUGAGAAAGAUCUAUCUCCCUACUUCCUAUUAUCUGUCUUUUAUUUUACUCUUUAUUUAUAUUUAGGGUUUUUCAGACAGGAGAAACCAUAUGAUAUUUAAGCUUGUGCAUCUGAUUUACUUCACCUAACAUUGUGGUUUGAAGGUACAUCCAUUACGUUGUACACAUAUUUCCUCUGGAUGCAACACUCUGACGUAUAUAACUUUCUUUAAUGGAUUUUUGUUAAUAUGAUGCUAAAUUUCUAACUCACAAUGCAGAAUCUCAGCUAUUGUCUAUCCAAAACCUGGCUGUCUUUUAUUUAUCCUGAAAUGUCUAUGCUAAUGAACACAAAGCUUCAGAAAUGAACACAACCAGCUAAAUCCUUACUACCUAUAGCAGUUUAGAUAGCUUGUAAUCAACUGUAUGGCAUUUUCACAGCAAGAAAUACUAAUUUGAAGGUAAGGUAUGUUUCUAUCUAGAGUAAGUGUUAACUUAUGUGUCAGACAUGGUGCUCAGAAUCUUUAUGGGCAUAUUUCCUCAUUUUAUUUUUGCUACAACAAUGUACAGUAGGUGCUAAGGUAGACACUGUAGGGGGAGGACAAGAAGCUCUGAGAAUCUGGAAAUGAGUAUUUACAGUACCACAUGGUACUGUAGCAGUGCUCUAUACAUUCAUCCAUUUAACUAUCUCCACAAUCUAUGAUCAUCAGUACUCCCUUUUACAAUGGUGAAACCUGGGAGGUACAUAACUGGAGCAAAGCUGCUGAACUGGGAAAUGAACCUGCACUGUCUUAUGCCAACCACAACAUAGACAGUUCCUUCCCCUGGCCACGACAUCCUACAAAUUCUAGAUAGGAUGCUGGAGGUAGAGGCCACCUCCAGAAAGGGAACAGUGGGGAAUAUCCCUCCCAACCCCUGCAGGAGUAAGGCUGGAGUAACCUAGUGCUUUGAUGAUAGAAAGCGAGUUCCUUUUUAAAUUGAGAGGGUGUGAAAGGGAGAUUAUGCGAUUCCUGUUAAUCUAGAUUUUUUUUUUUUUUUUUUUUUUUUUUUUUGGUACCAGGGAUCGAACUUAGGACCUUGCACUUGUGAGGCAGGCAUGGUGCCACUAAGCUAAAUCUCUGGCAACCUAGAUCUUGAAUCAAUGAAAGUAAAUCCUAAAUCUGGCCCCAAGUCCCACCCUUCUAAAAGAUCCUAUCAAUGACCAGUCACAAAGAACCUCCAGAAGACCUGCGGUGCUCAGAGGAAGGCUCUUCUUAGAGGCCUCCCUCUCCCCUAGAUGUCCCCUCUGUGUGACUAACUUGGAGUCCACAUCUGCACGUGUGCUACUCACAAGAGCCCACAGUGGAAACAGUGCAAAUAUUCGAUAACUGGUAAAUGAGCAAACACAUCAUGGAGGAUCUGUGGUAUACAAUGGAGUACGAUCCAGUCAUAAAAGGACUGAAGUAUCGACGCAUACGAUGAUGUGGUGGAUGAAUCUUAAAAACCUGAUGCUGAAAGAAAGAAGCCAGACAUAAAAAGUCACAUACUGCAAGCCUGCACUUAUAUCCAGAAAAGGUUGAAUCAUUGUAGAAGAAAGCAGAACAGCAGUUUCCAGGGGAUGGGGGAUAAGGAGAGUGGGGAGAGAGUCACUGCCCAGUGAGUAUAGGGUUUCCUCUGGAUGAUCAAAAUAUUUUGGAUCUAGACAGAGGUGAUGACUGCAGAACACUGAAUGUACUACACAGUGUACAGUUAUGUCAUGUGUAUUUAAUGAAAAGCAUGUACAAAUGUGAGUGGCCAUCUCUGGGACUUUUUCAAUCAAGACACAGUAUACAUUGUGUCAAGCCACACAGAGGC